CUUUCUCCCUCUCUCUUUCUCCCUCUCCCUCUCCCUCUCCCUCCCUCUCCCUCCCUCUUGUAGGAUGAUAGCCCAAAGAAAGGAUGAUUGAAUCAUGGUUUGUCAGAGUUUAAGAUGUUAUCCUCUGGCAAAGCUUCACCUGGGACUGGCUGAGAAUAGCAGAGAAGGAUUUUAGGGAGACUGAGUGCACUUAAGAACCCUGUUAGCUAAAUUUACCUUAAUCUGGCUUUUAGAAACCCAAAACUUGGUGGCAGUUUAUGUUUGUAUUCUGCAUAAGUAAAAGCAGGCAGGAGUCCCUGAGCUGUCCAUGUAGCAAAGGAGGUUGACUGUUGCUUCAGGUGUGUUUUCCUGGAAAGAAAACAUAAGUAGAGGAAAGGAAGGAGAUCAAAGACCACUGCUGUGGAAAUGCUGGAGAAAUUGGUUGGAAGGUGAGGGAAGCAUGUUACAGAGCACCAGUAGGAAAGAAAUGAAAGAAACUGUGACAGGAGGUUCCAACAACUGGAUGAUUGACUGUGUUGAAGAAAAAUAGCAGAAUAAAUUGCAUAAAGUAUUAAUAUUCAGCUUGGACCUGGGAUAUGUUUUAAAUUUAUGAAAGAAACUUGUAGAGAUGAGAAACAAAAGGUGCACAGGAGGAUGAAAAAGAGGGGGCAGCCUCCAUGCUGGGGUUUGUGAACAGUGUAUUCUGGGUUAUUAAAUAUGAAAGUGAAGAGAAUGGCAAGAAAUCUUAUAUAUUUUCCUGAGAAAAAGGCUCAUCUUUUGACACAAUGUCUGUGUGUGUAUCUGCUUGACAGUACUAUUCUAAAAAUGGAACUUGAGCAAUGAAACUGAUUGUAGUAUAUUUACCUUACAAGACAAAUCCCAGCAAAUUUAUGCAAAAAACCCAUGAGUGGGAAGUGAAGGAACCCUCUGGAAUAUGUCCCAACGCAGGGCAGGUCUGCAGUGUGAGCUGAGCUCUCAGAAUCCCCACGACAGCGUCUCAUGCCAGGAGUGAACACCAGAAUGAUGCUGGUGGGGUAGGCAGGCUGGCACAUCCUGGGCCCUAUCUGACAUUUGAUUGAAAAUUUAUAUUUCUAAAAAAAGCUUUUUUUAUUCCUGUUUUCUCUUCUGAUAUUUUAAAAUGAGAACUUCAUGCAGUCUUAUCACUCUCAAAAGAAAUCACUGAACAAAGCUAAAUACAACUAUUAGGUUAUACCAGUUGCUGAAGAUGGGAAAGAGUAACUCUUGUACUUUUGUGCAAAGACUGGGGAUUACAGAAGGGGAAAUUGGGGGAUGUAGUCUGUUCUAUUGUUGAUGUAAAUGUUCUGGAGGAAAACAGAUGAGAAACUUGUGUCUGCCAAACCAGAAAAGAGAGGACAGACCACAGGAGGCUACAGAUGGCUACAAAAUAUGGAAUAUUUUGCUGGCAUUUCACUGAUUUUUUUGCAGGAUAAAACUAUGUGGAGAGCAAGCUGAAAGAAUAGUUGAAGAUGAGAAUAAAAGAGUGAAAGGAAAUGUUGAAUUUCAACAUGUCCUUUCCAGUGGCUGAAAACAAUACUCAACAAGAUGCAAUGACACUACAGAAUAAAUGUUAAUGGUGGAAAACAAAAAAGAAAAAAAACAGGGGGGGACUUUCCUUCAACUCAAUAGCAGAAAUGAAAAUUUGAGGUUAAGGGUAGGGCUUGGAUUGUUCAGGGCAGACUGUGCAAUGCCUGAGUGAUUGUUACUGAAGCAUAAAAAGGAUCAAUAACUUUAAGAAUCCAGUGGCAGUAAAAUUGUGCUAGAGCCUUCAAAACAGGAGCCAUGGAUGUUAAUAAAUGAGAGUUCACAGGGUAACAAGUCAACUGGCAGAUGAUGAUAUUUGGGGAAGGGAAGUGUUACCGAUAUUUGUGAAAGAAAUAGGUCAGGGAACUCUGUGCUUAAGGAAGAGCAGUUAAGUGAAUGGCCUUAUUGAUGAGUGUGGCAAAACAAACUGUUCCAGGAACUAGAAGGGCCAUAACAAGGCAUGACUGCAGAAACAAAAUGUCAGCUCCCAGAGCAGUUUUGUAUCUGAAAAUGGAUCAUUCAGCUGUGGGGAAGGACAUCAUUCAUAUCGAUACGGGCAGCUGGUGAGGAGUAAGUUUUGAUGUGUUGGGCCUCACUUUUUCACACAGAGCUUUUGUAUGUAGCACAUUCCUUUGAAACAAGUGCAAAUUUACUGGGAGAGGGACAGACCAGGGCACAGACACCCAAGCAGCUUUUUUAAUGUCCCUCUAUUUGUCUGAUAGGUCAACAUUUAUAAAGAACAGUGCUGUUGUGCAGAACAUCAGUGACCACCAGUGCUCACUUCAGUUUGUACAGGGUUGUGUGAGAAAACCUGGCAUAUUUCCAAUUCAAUGCCUGAUCAAAUGGAAAUGUUGACAAGUUUUGUUACCCAGUAUUGAGUUGCCAACCUUAAUGUCCCAUUAUGCAAACACAAAUACCUUCACUAAGUUAAAGGCAUGUUCCAUUUGUUAUUCAUUUGAUAAAUAAAAGUUUGUUUUAUGGAAUAUGAAAAUUAUAUUUUCCCUCCAUAAUUUGCUGUUUUUAAGUUACUCAAGGUACUGUAGAAAAGCUCCCAUAUGAGGCUAUAUUUGAGUGCUUUGGAUUUGGUUUUGAGAGAUCUUCCCUCUUUUAUGAGGAAAAUCCCAGGCUUUUUGGUGUGAAUUAGCAUUACAGGUGUGUUGGUUUAGCUGUGUCCAUGCUGAUGAUGGUCACAGAAAUAGGAAUGGGGUUUAAUUUGGGGUGGGUUCAAUCAUUGUCCCCAAAGCAGCCAGUGUUCCCAGCCCAGAGGAGCUGUACCUCUGAGGGGUGCUGAUACAGCAAGCCUGUGUCACACCUGCCUCUUAAUAUCUACUGUCACAAUGGUUUUAUCCUCAAAGCUCAUAAUACAGAAUGAACUUUUCUAAAAGUGUGUGAAAGCUUAAGUUACAAGAGGGAAAUUUCAUCAGUUUUACUGAAAUAACAGCUACAUUAUGACUCCCUGCAUAGGCACUAUGGUAUUAGUGUGUCUCUUUAACCUUCAUUACUGGUCAUGCUUCAUUUGUUUUUGGUUAAUUAAUGCCCUUUAACAAGAUAGGAGCUAAAUUAAAGGGUAAAAAACCCAUUCUUAUACUAGGCUUAAUGUCUGCAUGACUUUUUUUCUACUGUGACUUAAACCAAAAGGCCUGUGUUUCCAUUUAGGGUCUUUUUAUUUUUCUUAGUGUCAGCUCAUAUUCCAUAUUCAAUCACAACAUAUUUUUAAGGGGUUUGAAUUUAUUUUUUUUUUUCCUCCUAAAUAUUGUUGUGUGAUACCUGUUUGCCACUUCAGGAAUAUAAUUUUGUUCUUUUUGCCUAGUAGAUUCUCUUAAAAGAAUUCUAAGUUUCUGAGUACUCUAAAGUUAUUAAUUCAAGAAGUACAAGGUUUUUAAAGGAGAUUUUCUUAGUACCUUCUGACUGUCCAGAAGACUUUCCAUCGUUUCUCAGAAGUUGUGGAUACAUUUUCUGGUUUUGGAUCUUUGAUGACUGCUGAGCAGUGGCCCUUGGAUUUCUCAUUAUCCCCUGUGUGAGGGCUGUGUGGUGGCCAAGGAACCUCACACCGUGUGUGCUCUACAGGCAGGGAUGGCCUCUCAGCUGGGCUCGUACCUCUGGAAGUGAGCUGACUUCUUGUGAGCUUUCUCCAAGGCAGGGAGAGAUCUCUGGAUUCAUAGGAUGCUGUUAUUAGUUAAUAAAAACCAGUGUCAUGUGCGGCUUAACAAUGCUAACUUAAAAAAAAAAAAAAUUAAAAAAAAGGAAUGUGCUUUGAGAGAACUCUUAAGUGAUUAUUAUGUUGAUUAGCAUUCACUGUGGCCAUAAUUUCAUUUGAUUUGUCACCUAGACAGUGUAAUGUGUAAAUACACUCACAGACUCUUCCAUAUCUGCACUUGCAAUUCCAUAGUUCCCUACACAUUCUCCCUCCCCCAUGGCAUAGUGUGAAAUUAAAUUUCAGUUUAUUUAAACUGCAUUUCUGUGGAUACAAGCAGUUAUGUUCUGAUGUGUGAGUAGAAAGGGUGGGAAAUUUGUGUUGACACCUGAAGGUGUGAUCAGCAGGCUGAAAAAGUUUAGAUCCUGCUGUGCCUGUGAAACACCAUCUGCUCUGGCAGCGACUGCCCUGAAGGAAUUGGCUCAGACUGGAAGGAGUAAAAGGCACACGAGUACAGUUUUCCUCUUGGCCAGUCGGAUCUGCAAGAAGCAGACUUCAUUCUGCUCAGGGAAAGAUGAAAAUUGGUCCAGGUUUUACUCUUUCCACUGAGAUUGUCCAUACAAAAUGGCACUGAGACAGAGAUGUAAAUAAAUCAUUAAUGAUGACAUGAUUAUUCCUAACAUGUUAGUAUAGGAUUGAGCAGUAUAUUUCAUAUCUCAGCUGGAAAACACAAACAAGCUUGUCUUGUCCCCCUGCAUGCAUCCUCCUUCUGUCCUUGUUUCAGCUAAACAAGGAGCAUUUUUGGGGCAGCAGAGUAUCCUUUUGGGGGUCACUGAAACAUUCUCACAAGCAGAUUUCAAAUGAACCUUGCAGUGAGAGGAUUUCCAUAGAUAAUUCUCACAGAUGUUUAGGCAUCUUCUAGUUUUUCUUUUUUGUUUUGGUUUGGUUUUUUGUUUAAAUAGUAAAAAAGCCGUGUAAUGUUACUUAGGAUCUUUCUAAUGACCAAAGAACUGUAAUAUGUGUGUCUGAAGUUAAAAUGAGUUAUUACCAUGAUGGAAAUGACAGCUUUUUGCUGUUAUGGCAAAGCCCAGUUGAAAGUAUUUUUAUUAUAACUAUCUGUUAGCUUAUUUUUGGCAGUUGUAGAAAGCAUUAAUUAGAAUUUUUAUCAGCAUUUCUUACUAUUUUUUACUCAGCUCAGCAGAGUAUUUGCAGGCUCCCAUAAUCCAAAAAGUCUAAUUUUUCCUUCUGUUUGGAGUCUCUGCUUGAACAGGUUGAAUUGAGAAGGGAGAGUUUGGGACAGCUUUUGUGUUAAUGACCAGUCUUUUUUUGUCACUGCUGUUACUUAAUUUAUUUUUCAUAAAUGGCAGCCUGUUCAUUAUAUACUAGAAAAUUUCAAAGAAGUUUGAAAAUAAUAAGUUUGCAAGAGAUUUUCUGUGAUGUCAAGAUGAAAAUAAGAAAAUGGGAGCAGAUGAGCAGAGGCAGAUGUGAUGCUGGCUAUUUCUUUAGGUGUGAUCUGUGUUUUCAAAUCCUCUGAGGCAGUGACUGUCCUAUCAGAGACAUCUGAAGAAUGGUCUGAUGAAGAAAACAGUACUUUAUUCUAUGUGUGAUGGAAAAGAAGUUUUUAUGAAGAUCAAAAAUCAGAACUAGGAUCUGCAAUUUCUCUGCACACUGAUGAGAUCCAUGCUCUCUAUAUUUUUUCAGAUCAGACUGUGAUUAUUUUUUUUUAUUAUUCCUUGGUGUAUAUACUGGGUUUUUAAUACAUAUUUAAAAUAAGUUGGUUGCUUACACAUGAGCAUACAGCUACUUAUAAAUGAGUCUACCUCUAGUGGAAUUGAAGAAGCAGUUUGAUAGAUAAUCUUGGUAUUUGUAUUUAGUUUACUUUAAGUAUAGUGUAAUAGCAGGAAAAUUCUGUAGCUAUUAAAAUCAGGAAUAUGCAUAACUCAUUGUUUUAUGUAAAGUCUGCAGGCGACUAAUAUUUUAAAUUUAAUUUGUGGCCGAAACUUUCAGUGGUGCAAGUAGAAAUUACGAAUUAAAAGAUAAUUCAAAAUUAAAAUAAUAACAUUUUUUUUUAAAGUUUCUUUCUCAUCUUUUCCUUCCCAAUUAAGAGUAGAAAAGGCAGCGUUGCCAAGUUAUGAGAAAAAUUCAAAGGUCUGUGCAAAGGCUGGCUGUACAAAGUUAUUCGGAGCCGGGCUGUGUGGAGGGAUGGAAGUGAAGGGUUAAGCUGAGCGUUUCUCUGGCUGCUGAGUGAAACAGGAUGCAGUGAGUGCAUUGUCAGACUGCUGGUGUGAGUGCAAACAGAUGAGGAAAUGCUGGAUCAGGCACUUCAGCAACUCGGGCUGUUUCCACGGAAACCGCUUGCGUCACACUCGCCAGCAAUUAGCUUACAGUUCUUUUAUUUUUGAUAGUGUUGCAAGCCGAGCUCGCCUCUCACAAAGGGAAACACUGGCUCCAUCUCAAUCCCUCUCCGCUUCUGGCUGCGGCCACGGAGCUCCGGAGAAUCUGCGGAGCGCUGCUUGCGAGAGUUUUUCAAUUUAUUUUCCACUUUCCUGUGCUGCUCCUGUUUCAGCUGAGCUUGGUUCUCAAAAAUGUAAAAUCACGUUUUUGGGAUCUGCAUGAAAGGGACCUUCCCCAGCAGCCAAAAUUAAGCGCUCUGCAAGUUUCACCAACAUUUUGGGUACCUUUUGCAGCAAUUAAUCUGAAGUAUUUUUGUGCGUUGCAUAUUAAAAUAUACUUUUCAAAAUUAAUGUUACCAGAGGCUUAACCUCUAAAGCAAGGGAUUUUAUUCCUAAAUCCUUUUUUCCUUUGUUGAUUAAAAUUCAGUUAUCUCCAGUGGUUACCUAGCCACUGAUAUAAACCAGUUAGUGUUGAAAGCAGUGUGUGUUUUAUCUCAGAAAAUCAUCCUAUCUUCUGUAUUUCACUUAAAAACUGUAAACAAAUUUACACUAACUGGCUUAAUAUUGAUGUAUAUUGUUAGUAUGGGUAUUGCCUCGUGGCUAGCUAUGGCUGGGUUUUUUAGGGAAAAAAUCACACAGUGACCAACAGGUUAAACCAGAAAUGUUUGUGUUUUUAUUUUUCCAUGGAUUUGUUACAUAGGCAAACACACAACUUAGAUUUUAACAAAAUGGAAUUAUAGUACAUAGCUGAAGGCCAGAGUUGUUAAAACAUCCAGGUUAAUAGAGAAUACACAUGUUCCUCAGUUUGUGGAAUGCUUAAAAAGUCAAUACAAUUUAAAUAUUUGAAUAUUUGGAUUUUCAAAUUAUUUUCGGAGAUUUUAAUCCUUAUUAAAAGCAUAAAGGAAAAAAGAGAAACCAAACAAACCACUGAACCUUCCCAGUUUUGAGCCCUCUUUUCCCCUCCCCUUCCCCCCCAAACGCUUGGAUACAAGGUUUAGAAUGAAUAUCUUCAUUUCUGCACACUUAUGAUAAAUUGCCUUGGCUGUAAUAGUCUGGCAGCCCAUAUUUUUAGGGUAUUUUUUGGACUUCAGGCCAGUGUCAUUUAUGGUUAGCUGGUCACUGGGGUUGCAUUCCAAAUGGUGAUCACUGUCUGUGUGGCCUGGGACCUUUGUACAGGUUUUUCUCCAAUUGCAUUUUACUUAAAUUAAAAAUAAAUAAAUAAAAUUGUGUGGAGGCGGCUUAAACACCAAGGGUUUAUUGGCCAUUAAAAAGGAAGAGCACCAUUUUUUUGCUGAUAUUUCAGAGUAGUUUGGCUGCCUUGCCCAGCCUCACUAAGACAUUGCAUGUGGUCACUGCUUGGUAAGGGCUGUAUUUGGUGUGUGUUUGUAUUGGCUCUGCUGCAAGAUGUGAAGUUUUACUGCUGAAGUCAGUGACUAUUGGGACUUAAAUCUGGAUGAUCAAUAAAGAGCUCGUGUAGGUGUUAACAAAGCAAGAUGUGGAAAUCACAAUUUUGAAUUUUGUCCUUCACUUUCUUUGCCCCUUGAAUUCUGGACAGUAAAAUGGAGGCUCUGGUGUCAUCAGGUCCCUGAUGGGUUCGAUUAUGUCCUGUAAUUCUGCCAAUUUUUAAGGGCAAUUCCAGCAAAUUAUGCAGUACAUCAGGCAUAUUGGAUAUUUAGUUUAGUUUAGUGUUUUAGCCCUGUAAGGCUCGCCAGUUUUCCUUCGAUGAAGGAAAUGGGAGUUACAUGAUCACAUACUUAUGUUUCUGCAUAACUUUUAUUAUUAUUUAAUUAUCCGUAUUUGAUCUUCAUUCUGGCACUUGUUAGCUGUUUUCAAAGUGCUUUUAUGAGCUGACAAUACUCAGUUGUUGUUUUGUGGAUUCUCAGCCAGACUGUUUGGUAUACAUGCAUGUUUCAAAAGAUAAGUCUGUAAUAACAGAUGGAACUGGAUGCUACUUGGCUAUUUCAUCUUUCAGGCAUUGCAGUAAGAGACUGCAUGUUUUUCAGCAAAAUCAGUGAUGUUUUGUCCAAUUCCUGGGGAAACAUUUGGUUUAUAUCUGUCAGUGUCAUGACAAGUCAACUUGUCUCAUACUGUUUGUUCUGUAACAGAACCAGAGAGGUGGGUGCUACGAAGGAAAAGGGAUUGAGGUCUCUAACAUCUCCUUCUGAUUGUGAUUUUUACAAAUCAACAAAGUGGUUUUGCAACUCUUAUGCACUAUUUUGUAGAAAAUUCCACUGAAAACAUGAAGAAAGUGACUGACAGUCUUCUGGGGGUUUUUUGGGGUUUUUUGAAGUAUGUGAAGCUAAAAUGGCCAGCUGUCAGAUCACCUUGCAUGGAAAGUUUUGUGCAUCAGGAAUGUUUCCAUGCUUUCCUGAGCAGCAUAAAGGGGUGUUUUCUUUGUUUAGUGUCCUCAUCUUAUUCCUAAAUUGCUAUCAGAAUCCCUUAAAUGUGCUUUUAAAAAUUAUUAGUAUUAGUAUCCCCAUUGUCUAAUUUAAUAACUUUCUUCCAGGUCCUUUUAUUUUCAAACUAUCUUUGCCAGGAAUAUUUUUUUGUUUCCAUGUAAUCAUUAAGACCAACAGAGGAAAUUAUGUAGAUACAUUUCUGUUCUCCAGCCCCUUUCUCCUGAUAUUAAAUCUUCCUCUUUCUUAUGAAUAGGAAGUUUCUCUACAUCUGCACCCUACAACAUCACAACUUCAGCCUGUGGUAAACCUGUCAUUGGGAUUCUUUGUUUGUUUUGGAUUUUCAGAGGUUAAAAGCUAGGGGGAAUAACAGAGGCAUGCCACAGCCAUCUCUAAGUUUUCCUGGCAUGUCACGGGUUUUCCUUUACUAUUCUGUGAUUUUCACAGUUUAUUUAUUUGCUGUGUCCAAGUAACUAACUUGUUCCCAGUUUCUUCAGUGUUAGGCUUCCUCCCAAUGUCUUUGGUGUCCACACAGAAUUUGAGUCCUAAUCCAUAGAAUGUAAAAGUUUGCUAAAAUCCUGUGGAACACAGAGCUCGUUUCUAUUUCUCAUUGCUUUAGAUUACAGCUGCAGAUGAUUUUUCUCAGUCUUCAUAUUCCUCUACAGUUUCCUUCUGGGAUAGUAAUUUUAAAAGCAUUUUUCACUUAACGUGUUAUCCUUUGUCUAUUUUGCUCAUUUAGAGGAAAUGUUUUUGUUAGGAUGCACACUGGAGGCCAAGACUUCAAUGACUUUUAAAAUCGAGUGAUUUAGUGCUAUCAGUAACUUUUCUGUACCUUCUUCCUUUCUUCCCACCCUCCUCCAUUUAUUUACUUUUUAAAAAUUGGAAUGCUGACCGCCUGUAUUUGCUAUAUUCUAUUUUCCCACCCAAGUCUGCCUCAUUGUUCCUUCACAUACUGGUGGGUUUUUUCUUUAGGUGGGUUUUUUUUGGGUUGUUUUUUUUUCUCCUAAUACCAGCAGCAGCACCAAGUAAAAUGUGUGGUGCAACAGCAGGUUUUGUUGGCUGGGAGGUACAAUUGCAGUGCAAGUCUUGAUUAAAAUUAUGAGUUCUGAGGUCAGAGCAUAAUUUUUUGAUGCUGAGAACUAUGUCCAAUUUAGAUUUAGUUUCUAUACAGCCACAAAAAGUGAGUUUUUUUAUAUUGACCUUUGGACAUACAGUUUCUAAUCUGAACACCUCUACCCAAAUAUUCCAGUUCCCUGAAUGCUUUAUGGCACUAACAGGGAGAGGAGUGGUCCUUCCCAGCCCUGUCUGCUCAUUCCUGCCCUGGCACCAUCCCCCAUUGUGCUGACACAAGCAUUCAUGAGACUACACAGCGAACUAAAUUGGGGAACUAAUCCGUGUUAAAAGUAAUCAGUUCUUUUUUGUAGCUCCUUGCCACGUGUCUGUGUAGAGGCUUUUGCUGCAGAAGGGAGGGAGUGACCCAGGGAUGGGAAGGAGCAGCAGAGGGAGGGCAGGGCUGCAGCUUCAUUGUGGCCAUGCCAAGUUGUGCUGAUUUAGGAGAACUAAUGGCACUGCCGUGUAAAGAGUGGAUGUGUUUAGAACUUCCCAAUAAAUCAGUCAAAAGAGCAUCCCCUCGUGCACAAAAGCCUCUAUAUUUUUUUUCCACAUCUUCAGUGAGCCAUAUAUUCUGUGCUGUCUGUUUGAUGUAAAGGAACAAAGCACUUCAGAGUUGGAUGGCUGAAAUGUGGCAAACAGGUAGUUAAAAUGAAGCAGGCAGAUGUGGUACCAUGCUCGCAACACACAAUGUUUUACACCAAGUUUUCACAAAGGCUUUGAAUGGAAAAGUGCAAUUUAGGUGUAUAAGUGGGACUUGUACAUAAAUGGAGCAGAGAGUUUGUCUGAAGAACAAUUUAAGAUUAUGUGGUCACAGACAGAAUCAUACUGCAUUGGUGCAUCAGUACAGAAUGAACUGGUAAAGGGCACUUGUGAAUUAGGCUCUUCCAAACACCGUAAUAUUUGGCACCCUUUUAAAACAGUGCUUUAAUACCGUUCUGUUUAUGUGAAAAUUCUUCACUGAUGUUGGAGUGAAAUAAAACGAAAACUUUAUAAAACUGUAACAACA
Molecule: long non-coding RNA, 10563 nt
Organism: Parus major (Great Tit)
Lineage: Eukaryota; Metazoa; Chordata; Aves; Passeriformes; Paridae
Exons: 2
Source: RefSeq, a predicted model, not a curated record